UAUAUAUAUAUAUAUAUAUAUAUAGUAUGAUCUAACAGCCGAACUCAUAUAACGGUAGAAAUGAUCAAUGCGGUGGAUCUAGCAGCCGAAAAUUUAUGGGUACAAAAAAACUUAUACUCAUAAGAAUAUAGUAGUCAAACUCAUAUAUACGCUAUGGCUACUAUAUUCUUGUAAGUAUAUAUAGGCUAUUUUGUACUAAUAAGUUUUUAGCUGUUGGAUAAAAAAAUAUACGGUUAGGAUGAUAGUGGUUUCCAAUUAAAAUGAUAGUGGUCCCCUAAGGAUGAGUGGGUGAUUGGUUGAAUAGUAUGAUCUAACGGGUAAAAAUGAACAAUAUGGUAGAUCUAAUAGUCGAAAACUUAUAAGUACAAAGGAACUUAUAUUUAUAAGAGUAUAGUAACUGAACUCUCUCUCUCUCUCUCUCUCUCUCUCUCUAUAUAUAUAUAUGUAUGUUUUAAAAAACACAGAGGUUUUUGUAAUUUUAAAUUAUUUUCGAUGAUGGAAUAUUUUAUUCGAUGAUUGAUUUCGUUAGAUAUGAUACACGCUAUUAACACUAUUUAAAAGAUAUCAUUUAUCAAGUAAUUUAAAAGUCUAAAAAAAGGUUAUUUUAAUGACCGAUAUGAUAUGUUUGUAAGUUCAACGAUAUAAAAUAAUCCAAACUAGUUAAAACUUUAAAUAAAAAUUUUACUUACUAUCAAAAGCAAGAUCAAUUCAUCCUAUUUUAAAUUUAAGUAUUUUAUUACUAUUUUUCUGAAAUUCUUAUUUUCAGCCAUUCAUUUUGAGGCUACUCGUUUACAAAUACAGUAAAAAAAAAUAUAUUAUAAGAUUUGAUUUCUAAAUAGUUCUAACACAAUAGAUCAUGUCUAAUAGUAUCGAUUGCUCAAUCAGAUGUCUUAUAAUUGAAACGAAUUUGAAGGCACGAAAGCCUUCAUACUUUGAAAGUAUAGUGUGUAUU
Molecule: long non-coding RNA, 952 nt
Filed under: Ananas comosus (pineapple)
Lineage: Eukaryota; Viridiplantae; Streptophyta; Magnoliopsida; Poales; Bromeliaceae
Description: long non-coding RNA (ACOM_LNC021742)
Source: RNAcentral